RNAcentral lists this ribosomal RNA (490 nucleotides) under uncultured bacterium. RNAcentral's name for it is "bacterial SSU rRNA". It matches the Rfam family "Bacterial small subunit ribosomal RNA", at positions 28 to 509 of the family's 1533-position model. The record is from RNAcentral.
GAUGAACGCUAGCGGCAGGCUUAAUACAUGCAAGUCGAGGGGCAGCAUGGUUGUAGCAAUACAACUGAUGGCGACCGGCAAACGGGUGCGGAACACGUACGCAAUCUACCCAGAACUGAUGAAUAGCCCUCCGAAAGGAGGAUUAAUACAUCGUAACAUAAUUGAAUGGCAUCAUUUAAUUAUUAUAGCUCCGGCGGUUUUGGAUGAGCGUGCGCCUGAUUAGGUAGUUGGCGGGGUAACGGCCCACCAAGCCUGCGAUCAGUAACUGGUGUGAGAGCACGACCAGUCACACGGGCACUGAGACACGGGCCCGACUCCUACGGGAGGCAGCAGUAAGGAAUAUUGGUCAAUGGACGCAAGUCUGAACCAGCCAUGCCGCGUGAAGGAUGAAGGUCCUCUGGAUUGUAAACUUCUUUUAUGUGGGACGAAACCCUGGUAUUCUUACCAGAUUGACGGUACCAUAGGAAUAAGCACCGGCUAACUCCGUGCC